This 481-nucleotide ribosomal RNA is filed under the name uncultured bacterium. Its description in RNAcentral is "partial 16S ribosomal RNA". It matches the Rfam family "Bacterial small subunit ribosomal RNA", at positions 30 to 507 of the family's 1533-position model. The record is from RNAcentral.
AUUGAACGCUGGCGGCAUGCUUUACACAUGCAAGUCGAACGGUAACAGGCCGCAAGGUGCUGACGAGUGGCGAACGGGUGAGUAAUGCAUCGGAACGUGCCCAGUCGUGGGGGAUAACUACUCGAAAGAGUAGCUAAUACCGCAUACGAUCUAUGGAUGAAAGCGGGGGACCGUAGGCCCCGCGCGGUUUGAGCGGCCCAUGUCAGAUUAGGUAGUUGGUGGGGUAAAGGCUCCCCAAGCCAACGAUCUGUAGGUGGUCUGAGAGGACGACCAGCCACACUGGGACUGAGACACGGCCCAGACUCCUACGGGAGGCAGCAGUGGGGAAUUUUGGACAAUGGGCGCAAGCCUGAUCCAGCAAUGCCGCGUGCAGGAAGAAGGCCUUCGGGUUGUAAACUGCUUUUGUACGGAACGAAACGGCUCUGGUUAAUACCCGGGGCUAAUGACGGUACCGUAAGAAUAAGCACCGGCUAACUACGUG